UUGCUGAAUCUAUUUCUCCAAUCGGAAAUCGACACCCACAGCAAUCUGCUGUGCUUUAAUUAAUGGAUGGGUUGCAUGCAUUUUAUUGUCUAUAAUUUUUUGUGUAAAAACUUUUGUGACUUGUGUUGACACGUCAAUGAAAAGUAUAGCCCAGAAAAGUAUUUUAUGUAGAACAUCUUUAUUGAUAGGCAGCCAUCCAUCAAUGAUCAGAUUUAGAAGGGACAUUCAAUACAGUUGGGCAUAUGAUAUAAUCAAUCGAAUUUCGAAUAUGGCAAUACACUGUGUUACAAGACCGUACUGUUGCCGCGUUCAAAAUAACUGGGACCUCGGAAAAAUACAAAUCAUGACGUCAGUGAUUUUUCAGGUCUGAAAGUCGAAGCUCUAGGGUCCAGAAAGAGGCCUGAGUUCCCGAGUUUGAAUUCGAAGUUGGAUGACCGUUCAAAUAUUUUUUUUUCGCGAGUUCCCAGUUGUUUUGAACAAGGAAAAGGUGCCUAGGAGUCAGAUACCUCCCAACCAGAGGAGCAACCUUGUCUACCGAAAGGGAAGCCUCCACAGAUCAUGAGAAAGACAAAGCCGUCAGUGAGCAGCAGAUUGUAUGCAAUGACAAGGCUUCCAUUCCUACCUGGGGUUGCCUUUACAAUGUCAAGAGCCAACCUGGGUAAAAAGGAUACCUUUUGAUUCUCUCUCUUCAAGGUUGUAUGCUCAUUGAAGGAGUAUAACACAUACAAACAGUACCUGGAUACGGUCAAGACAAACCAUGACAAAACCUACAGCAAGAAGAUGAAGAAACAGAUGCUGAGAAUGGUUCAGUUACAUGAAGAAGGCCAUAUCCCUAAGGAUGUUAUACUGGAAGAUAUGAGAGAGUACUUACUGGAAGAAGGAGCUCGGAACAUGAAGCAUCUGCAGUCAACCAUUGGUUCCAGAUAGGCAAGAAGUGCAUGUAAAUGCACUUUAUACAAAUGGGACACAAAGAUGGCCUGCAAACAGCAUUGUAUGACCCAGAGAGAGAGUUUGAGGAGUAUUGGGUUUCUAAGGAGUGAUUCAGGCUAAAACUCAUUCAAAAUGAUGUAAAGCAUGAUGUGAACAAGGCCAGGCAACUGAAGGAGGCCAAAGAAAAGCGCAACAGAAAGAAAAUGUGCAUCAUGGAACAAAAGCAGGCCAUUCAGAUGAGGAAAAUGGAAGAGGAAUUGAAAAACCUCCAGGAGUUUGAGAGGUUGAGAGAGGCUGCUAUUAAACCAAGUUAUCUAUUGGAAGAAAUAUCUGGAAAACCAGCUCCUGUCCAGCUCACUCGCCUAGCUGCUCACACCAAACUGUGAAGAAAACAGUUUCUCUGUCAGGCAA
Oncorhynchus tshawytscha (Chinook salmon) is the source of this 1341-nucleotide long non-coding RNA. RefSeq lists it as uncharacterized. Lineage: Eukaryota; Metazoa; Chordata; Actinopteri; Salmoniformes; Salmonidae. The record is from RefSeq and is a predicted model, not a curated record. The transcript is spliced from 6 exons.